AAUAAAACGUCGAAGAGGAAAAGUAGUUUUAAGUGUUGGUAUCUACAGAGAGCCGUUGCCGCUGUGAAUACGGUGAUACCCCUUAUUACGAACUCACCUCUGAGUGUCAAUAUGAAAGGAAUUUAUAGUUUCCGAAUAGUAUUGGUCGAGUGAUACCGUCACUCGUUAUCAAAACUGAACGAUAAAAUCGUUCCUGAGGUGGUUAAUUGUAAAAUUAACCAUGAAAAAGGGUGGUACCGUGGAAAGAAAUCUUUUCACCCCUUAC
Molecule: non-coding RNA, 265 nt
Filed under: Anaerobacillus alkalilacustris
Lineage: Bacteria; Bacillati; Bacillota; Bacilli; Caryophanales; Bacillaceae
Description: T-box sequence
Rfam family: T-box leader
About the family: Uncharged tRNA acts as the effector for transcription antitermination of genes in the T-box leader family. T-boxes are found upstream of many aminoacyl-tRNA synthetase genes and some amino acid biosynthetic genes usually in Gram-positive bacteria.
Source: RNAcentral